AUACAUGGAUCUCUAUACAACAAAUCAAUUACAUGUGCUUGACUGUCCACUUUAUUGAUAAUAAUUGGAAAUUACACAAAAGAAUUCUGAAUUUUUGUCCUAUUUCUAAUCAUAAGUAGGGGUGAGCAAAGACCUAGGGUACCCAGAACCGGUUAGGACCCAUCGGAUCCGGACCCAGAACUAGUCUCACCGGUUCCGGGACCGGGUCCAAAAUGUCGGACUCGGUUGUAACCGGUUCCGGGUCCGGGUCCUGAAAUUUCAGACCCAGUACCCACUAGGUACCCGGUUCAGUUAUAAAUUUUAAGUUUUUUUUAAGCCCAUACCCCAUAUAUAUAAACUUAUACAGCCCUAAAAAAUGCAAACCCUAACAUUUACCAGCCGCCUCCUUCCUCUAUCCUCUAAUCCUCUCUGCUUUCUCUCUCUUCUUUCCCUUCUCUUUAUCUUCUUCUCUAUUUCUCUAUCUUCUUCUUAUUACCCUUUUCACCCCUCUUUCUCUCUCCUCUAUCAGUCAAUCUUACCACCAAAUCAAAGAUAAUUCAUUCAUUUCUCCCAAAAAAAAAUAAAGAAGUAAACCAAUUCCUUAGCAAAAUCCUACAGAAGUUGUAGAACCUACAAAGAAAUAAAGAAGUAAACCAAUCACUUAUCAGAAAUUCUGGAGAAUUUUCAGAAAUGGCAACGCCAUUAACGGGAAUUGGACAUAGAGAGGAGGUGGAGUUGCGAUAAUGGCAGGUCUUGUGAACGUUGUAGAUCCUUCACCUCCGAGUUCGUCGUCUUCAUCCAAAGCUUCGUUGAAAAAUUCAGCUCAGAAAUCACCGAUUUUGACUUUUUUUUAUUUUAUUUUUUUAUUUAAUGGCUAGAAACGCAACAUAUCAAACUGGGUACCCGUUUUGGAACCGGUUCCCAGCGGUUCUGGUUUCAGAUCUCAAAUGUUGGGACCCGGUUGUUACCAGUUCCGGGUCCGGUUCCAAAAUAUUAGACCCGGUACUAACCGAUUCCGGGUUCGGGUCUUUAGUUUUACACCGGGUACCCAGUAGUGUUCACCCCUAGUCAUCAGGGUGAUGAUAUUGGCAAAGAAAUUGAAAAGUGUUUGCUUGAUUGGGGGCUUGAAAAAGUCAUGUGCAUAACUGUUGACAAUGCUAGCUCAAAUGAUACUGCAAUUGGGUAUAUGAUAAGGAAAAUGAAUGGAUGGAAAAUUGGGGUUCUUAAGGGUCGUUUCAUUCACAUGCGUUGUGUUGCACACAUUGUCAAUUUGGUUGUUUCUGAUGGGUUGAAAAUAAUUAAUGAGUCGGUUCAAUGUGUUAGGCAUGCAGUUAAGUUUAUCAAACAAUCUCCUGCUAGGUUGCAAAGGCUUAAAAAAUGUGUCUUAGAUGAAAAAAUCAACACAAAAAGGGGAUUGUGCCUACUAGGUGGAACUCUACCUAUUUGAUGUUGAAUGCUGCUAUUGAACUUUUUGAGAGGUAUUCUGAGGAAGACCCUCACUAUGUAAUUGAUUUGAAUGAGAUGGAUGGUAAGGGUAGCCCUGAUUCUGAUGAUUGGAAUAAUGUGAGAAGAUUUUCUGAAUUUCUACAAGCCUUUUAUGACUGACCUUGCAUGUUUCUGGCUCUCUAUAUGUCACUUUGAAUUUGUUUUUUCAUGAAUUGGUGAGUGUUGCUGUACUUUUGAAAGAUUUGGUUUCAAGUGAUGAUCUGGAUAUGUGUCUUAUUGCUUGUAGAAUGAAAGAAAAAUAUGAAAAGUAUUGGGGUGAUCCGGGAAAAAUAAACCUCCUGAUUUUUAUUGAUAUUGUCCUUGAUCCUUAUUAUAAGCUUGAUUAUGUUGAGUGGAUGAUAACUGAAAUUUAUGAUCCUAUUGUUGCAUCAAAGUUGGUUAAAAAUGUGAAGGAAGCUUUGAAUGCUUUGUAUGAGGAGUAUAGUGUUUCUUCAUCUAAUGAUGUGAAUAGGGAGGAAGUGUCUUCAAGUAAGGAUGACAAAACUCCAUUGUCUCCCAAAUAUAAGAAGGAUUGAAGUCUUAAAGAGUAAGUAUAAGAAACACAAGUGUGAGAGAGAUGGAGAUGCAAAAAUAGAGUUAGACAAAUAUUUGGAGGAGGAUACGGCGGAUGAUAUUGAUGAAUUUGACAUUUUGAGCUGGUGGAAAUUCAAUUGUUCAAGGUUUCCUACUGUGGGGAGAAUUUCCCGUGAUGUUCUUGUUGUCCCUGUUUCUACAGUAGCUUCUGAGAGUGCAUUAACUCCCCGAGUUGUAGAAGGUCUUGUUUGUGCUCAAAAUUAGUUACGUGCUUCAUCAUUUCCAAGUAUUGAAGAAUGUUUAGAGGAAGUUGAGCUUCUUGAAGAACGUAAUAUAUAAGAACAUCUAAUCAAAGUUACUUAUUUUCAUUAUGUAUAUAUAUUAACUUGGUUAUUUUUGUUAUGAAUUAUGAUAGACUUGAAGAAUAUGGAAAUUGGUGAUGCUAAUAUUGAUGAAGUGCUUGAAAUAUUAGACUGAUGUGGCUCUGCUGCUACUCUUUGCUCA
Molecule: long non-coding RNA, 2502 nt
Organism: Chenopodium quinoa (quinoa)
Lineage: Eukaryota; Viridiplantae; Streptophyta; Magnoliopsida; Caryophyllales; Amaranthaceae
Exons: 2
Source: RefSeq, a predicted model, not a curated record